AUGUGCACUGGGGAAAAAAAAACAACCCCCCAGCAAAACACUUUUUUUACAGCUGGAAUAAUGACUAUUGUUGCUGCAGCCCCUUGCAGUGGGUGCUCACAAGAGCAGGUCAUGGAUGCGCUGAGCACAGAUGAGUCCAUCCCUCCUCUCCCCAUCUGUCCUCUGAACAGAGAAGACCGGAGAUAACUCAGAUGAAAAGGAGUCAAUUAUGUGGUGCCUGGGAUACUAGAAGUCUGGACUUUAUGACCCAGGAAGUUUCUCUCUGCACCAUGCUCCCAAUUUGUUGGAUUUUUUUUCUUUAAUAUCAACAAAUAAAAUAACAUAUCCUGGAUACUCUGCA
RNAcentral lists this long non-coding RNA (340 nucleotides) under Anser brachyrhynchus (Pink-footed goose). RNAcentral's name for it is "lncRNA (ENSABRG00000006317.1)". Lineage: Eukaryota; Metazoa; Chordata; Aves; Anseriformes; Anatidae. The record is from RNAcentral.